Molecule: ribosomal RNA, 489 nt
Filed under: uncultured bacterium
Lineage: Bacteria
Description: bacterial SSU rRNA
Rfam family: Bacterial small subunit ribosomal RNA
Source: RNAcentral
GGCGGCGUGCUUACAAACAUGACAAGUCGAACGGUAGUUUAAUUUUGAAGUCUUGUCUUUAAGAAUUAACGUUAGUGGCGACUGGUGAGUAACGCGUGAGUAUCUGCCUAUCACAGGGGGAUAACAGAGGGAAAACUUCUGCUAAUACCGCAUAAGACCACAGGAUGGCAUCAUCAAGGGGUCAAAGGUUAGAUCUGGUGAUAGAUGAGCUUGCGUAUCAUUAGCUAGUUGGUGAGGGUAAAGGCCCACCAAGGCGACGAUGAUUAGCCGAUCUGAGAGGAUGACCGGCCACACUGGGACUGAGAUACGGCCCAGACUCCUACGGGAGGCAGCAGUUAGGAAUAUUGGGCAAUGGAGGAAACUCUGACCCAGCAACGCCGCGUGAAGGAAGAAGGUUUUCGGACUGUAAACUUCUGAUCUAAGGGAAAAAGAAAGUGAUGGUACCUUAGGAGAAAGCCACGGCUAACUACGUGCCAGCAGCCGCGGUAA